This 3462-nucleotide long non-coding RNA is filed under the name Sus scrofa (pig). Its description in RNAcentral is "lncRNA (ENSSSCG00025039980.1)". Lineage: Eukaryota; Metazoa; Chordata; Mammalia; Artiodactyla; Suidae. The record is from RNAcentral.
AGUCCAAGGCCUCCAGGGAACAGACCCCGGUGCUUCCUGUGGAAUUGCAGCCUCCCUUUCAUUUGAAAAGAGUAGGACUUGCUGCUCUUUUGUAGACAUUGCAACUCCCACCAGGCGGAAGAAGUUAACUACGUGAUGACCAGACUGUAGCCAUGACGUCAGCUGCCCCAAUUCCGAGAACUGGCCUCAGAGAAAUGGGACCAACCGGAUCCCAGGACUGAAGAUGAACCGUACUUAAAACAAUCAAGAAGACACUGAUCAGACCAUUGCGGGACUGAGUUCAAGCUGAUGGUCAUUAUUUGGGCGACUGGAUCGCUUUGCUGCAGCAGAAAUUAGCACAGCGUUAUACGUCAACUAUGCUUUAAUUUAAAAAAAAAUGAAGAAAAGAUGACUGCUUGAGCUGACUGUGCAGUUCUGCAUACAGGCCCCUCCCUCCAACUACAGAGCCCUGAAGCUCCCCUGUAAAAGCUCUCGCCCACUGAUCAGCAGGGGGAUUGGCCUCUAGGCACGAGUCUCUCCUCUCUCACUUGGUCUCCAGCCUCUGGGAUCAAACAAACUUUCCUUUCUACCAGCCCUUGCCUCUCAGGUGGCGAGCACACAGACCUGAGUCUCGGUACCGUGUCUGACAAACACUGGAUGCCUGUUACCGGAAGCAGCAAGAGGAGUCUCCCUUCAGUGCCUCCAGCCCCGGCCACGCACGCAUCACCAGCUCCCAUUCAGUCUGCCUGUUUCCAUCUCUGAGUUUUAAAGAUCUCAUUAGUUCAUCAUCCUGAAAGAGCCUUGCUCUUUGGGAUGCUAUCUUCCUCUUCUCCUAUGAAACUCACUUUCUGCACAAAUAUUUUCAAAACCCUAGUGUAUCCAGCCCUAGAGCAGGGUUGCUUCCAGGAGGGGGCGCGCUCCCCUCCACGGUAAAUGGGGAAGCGGGGGGUGCCUCCGGGCAGGGGUUGAAUGGAAGGAGGUGGCACGUGGAGGGCCUGAGUAUUAAUUUUGUUUCUUUACUUACAAACCACCAUGGCAUAUUCUUGACCAAGGUACAGCGUUUUCACCAUGAAUGGGCGCUCAGGCCACAUUUUUGAGGCGGGACUAUGGUGACCACCAGGGGAGGGUCCCAGGCUGAGUCCCACGGGCCAGGGAGGGGAGGCUAGGAGAGCUUUUCAGGGGGCCUGACAUGCAGACUGAAUGGAGGGGCUCCAGAGCAAGCUCAAGAGGGCGGUGAAAGAAAAGAAUUGGGUUGGAGUUGAGGAGAGAGAGCGCGCUGAUGGAAACUGGCAGCUUGGCUCCAGGAGGCUAAGGCAGGUGACAAGGACAGCACCAGAGGGACGGCUUGUUGGAGAUGCCCUGUGGCAGAGGGACCUUGCCUAAAGCAGAAGGGGAACGAUGGCCAGGGCCCAGGUUCUCCCUGAAGUUCACAGAGCGGGAACCAGACUGAAUCCCGGCCAGGAAGAGACCCUGGAGACAGAAGAUGCAGGACUGGGGGGCAGAGGCGGCAAAGACGGGGGACCCGGAGGAGGUGGGGAGGAAGGGCCUCAGGCGAGUGUCCGUAGAUGCAUCUGCUGAGAAAGCGCCACGGGGACAGGGACCGAGGGUCUUGCGCCACGCUCGGCACAGUGCCUGGCGCGUCGUGGUGCUCCGUACACGUCUGCAGAUAAACGCUCGAGUGUGUCCACAGAGGGGCAUCACACAGCCAUUGCCAUUGCCAGAUGCGUUCGGGGCAAAAGCUCCAAUCGGGUGCUCAGCGUUCAGGAAAUGCUCAGGUCACAUUAGGGAGUUUAAAACUCGGAGAAACCCUGCAGGAAGGAAACCUCCCUUUCCUUAACUGUUUUUCCACACUUGUUUGGGUAGAACUUUCCUCCACCCCAGCUCCCAUGACACCUGUGAACACCUGGAGGGGCACCGGUCCCCUGCAAGGGACAGAGACAGAACCAGAAAGGAGCUGGUGUCUGGGCCAAGAUCUGAGCUGUGGGCUCCGGGAUGCUGGGAGGGUGGGUGUGCCAGACACGGCAGGAGUGCCAGACACCACAGGUGUGCCAGACACGGCAGACAGAGGGCAAGUGUGGAGCCAGAGGACACAAGGGGGACGUCCCUCCCACCUUGGGUGAGUUUGCCAAGAGAAGUGGUGACAGAGCCUGCAACUGGGGACACUCUGGAGACACUGGGGACACUCAGGGGUGGCUGGUCCCCCCAGCAGCUCCCAGGCCUUGUCAGACCUGGAGGUUCUCUUCGGGGCUUUAUCACUGGCUUCCCUGAAGCCAAAGAACAUUUCUGGUCAGUUUUUUACAUAAUUUCUUCCUUCCUUCCCCCCCCUCCCUUUUCCCUAAAAAGGGGGAUUUGUGUUUCUUUUCCUAAUGAUGUGGAGACCGUGAGAGAAUCAUCCUUUCUCUUGACCCUCUGACCCUGGUUGUAUCCUCACUCAUUCAUUCAUUCAUCCAUUCACUCACUCACUCACUCACUCAAUAUUUGGGGUGUCCUUGAUUGGGGUGAAGGAAUAUAGCCCUCAGGUCUUAGAUGCGUCGCUUCGACAUAGCAAUAGUUCAAUAAUAACAAAAAGCAAGACAAUCUAAUUAAAUCCCAAAGUAGAAAUUCUAUACCAUGACUUUUUUUAAACUUAAUUGUUUAUAAUCACCAGGGAAAAUUAAAAAAAAGUUACAUAUUCCUGAGUUCCAUGCCUGAAUCAGGAACUUGGAUUUUGAACUUUUUAUUUUUUAUUAAAACAUUUUUCUGGGGGCCACACCCCAGACAUUCAGAAGGUCCCAAGCCAGGGAUCAAACUCUCACCACAGCAGUGACCAGAGCUAGAGCAGUGACCACACUGGAUCUUUCACCUGCUGGGCCACCAGGGUACUCCCUAUUUUUAACUUUUUAAAUUCUAAGAGUUUCCUAGGAAAUUCUCCCCAUGCUUUCCCUGCCCUGCAUUGCAGAUUACUCUUUGCAAACCUCUGUGACAGACCAAGUUUCUGAAGUCAAGGACCGAGCAACAUCUGGCUGGCUGGGUUAUCACACUUGUCUCACUUGCUAAUGAGGAAGGUUCCAGAGAGGAGUCUGGCCCUAGCGACCAGCCAAUUACUGGCUGUGCAGAGACCCAUUUACGGGGCCCUGAAAGUCUCCACCCACAAAUGACAUUUCUGCUCUAAGUGCCCUGAAGGGGUGCAGGUGACCUGCUACACUUCCGCAGAUGACCAGUGGCCACCAUGAACAGGGAGUUCCCAGGGUGGCUCAGUGGUUAACAAAUCUGACUAGGAACCAUGAGAUUGCAAGUUUGAUGCUUGGCCUCGCUCAGUGGGUUAAGAAUCCAGCAUUGCUUUGAGCAGUGGUGUAGGUCUCAGACAUGGCUCAGAUCCUGUGUUGUUGUGGCUCUGGCGUAGGCCGGCGGCUAUAGCUCUGAUUAGACCCCUAGCCUGGGAACCUCCAUAUGCCGCGAUGUGGCCCUAGAAAAAAAAAAAAAAAAAAAAAAAAAAAAAAAAAA